Long non-coding RNA from Gasterosteus aculeatus aculeatus (three-spined stickleback), 1826 nucleotides. The record is from Ensembl. Lineage: Eukaryota; Metazoa; Chordata; Actinopteri; Perciformes; Gasterosteidae.
GGAAAUGCCCGAGACGAGAGGCCCCUUUAAAUGGACGCUUCAUCGCUGUAGUGCCGAGAGAGAGGGAGGGAGAGGGGGAGCGGCAGAGAGGGAGAGGGAGAGGGAGAGAGAUCUGAUCAACAACAACACUGCUCUUCUCUGCCGCCGCUUUUACUGGAUUCCGCCGUUUCCCGCGGCCUCCGUGAACAAGAGUGGACUUGGACGAUGAGGACCUGGAUGACGUCAUGAACAACAACGGGCAGUGUCCCGUAUCCCUGUCGCCCAUCUCCUAAACUUCACCAAGAAGUGCAAUUUAAAAAAAAAAAAAAAAGAAACCUCGCAGGUCCCCGUCAGUGAUCUUGGUCUUGAUCCUGUCAUGUAUCUGACCGACGCGUCCGACGGCUCAUCCAGGCUCAAAAAAACGCCUCAUUUAGCGGCAGUCGAAGCCGAGGCCCUAACUGUACAUAUUGUUUAUUUAACGCCCCUUUGGGGGGACUGUGAGCGGAUUGUGUUGCGUCGCUCUCUGCUCUACACCUCGGCAGGCCGUAGAUUAUCAGGACUUGAGAGAAGGAAGUGUCUUUAUUCUUCAGAGCUUCUUAACAAGGGCUAUACGUUUCUAAAGUUGCACCGAGCAAAUGGUCUUUGGAGGAAAGCAGCUUCUCGCCUGCCUGUUUUCUGGUGAGGGUUUCUGGGCCUGUGGGUUUGAACACAGACCUCCUGAUGUCUUAACACACAGGUGAAAUGUUACGCUUUGGUUGUGCAAUGACUAUCGUUCUUUACUCUCACUCCAAUGCAAGUGGUGCACUAUUCAGUGGGCAAAAGGCAAAAAAAAAUGCCUGCUAAAUAUUUAUUGUUUCAAAAAAGGAAUGGGAAAAAACACGUUGUUGUGUUGUUAUGGCUUCUAAGUGUUUUUUACUUGUUUCUGAACGGAAGUUGCGUCAGACUUCUGUAACUUGAGAUUCAAUACGUUCCCAAAUGGUGCACUUUGUAGGAAUGCCUGUUAUGUGCCGUGAAAUGUUGCAGAAUUCUAUGCAUGGAGUCUGUUAAAGCAUCAAAACACGUAACUGGUAUCCUGUUAAUAAGGGCUAAUGUAGAAGAAUUUCAAACCGCAGCACCGUUAUGCUCUUUAGGUCAUGCAGAGUCAACAUUUUCCUGAGCUCCUUGUUGGCUCGGCCUGCUGACUCAGCAGUAAAAUGUUGUGAACAACAACGGAUUUAUGGAGGUUGUUGGCUUUCUAAGGCAGGGUUUCCCAGUUUGCAAGGCAACUGUGAUAAAACAUGUACAGUCGUAGUUCUUUUGAUUGAAUUGCCAAAAGGCAUUUGACGCUGUAUUACAACGAUGAUUGAAAUAGAUUGGCACGCAAAUAUAUGUCCUAAUGAACAACACUUUGUAUUGAUAUUUACAUCAGUAAUCUGCUUAAGCUACACCCAGAUGGUGUCAGGUUUUCUUUUGGGGUUCAAGUGAACUCUUUAAAGAUAAUACCAUCCAUUACUUCACAAUUACAGUAUGACAUCAUGAAAACAAGCAGCUCUCUAUUAUUCGUUCUCACUGCUGAGACAAUCUUAACACUGAAGCUUUUUGGUGAUUUGGGGGAUUUGCAGUGGAUUUUGUAAUGCCAUGCUACUGUCGCUGAAGGCUCACGCUGAUGUCAGUUACUUAGUUGGCUGUGAAAUUGUUACUUGUUGACUUUUACCUCUUUUUGUGUCAUGGAAGCACUGCAUUUCACAGCCCAAAUGACUCAGUGAUUGUCUUUGGGAUUGUGGCUAACUUUUGCAUGGAAAUGAUUGACUUUUCUUAAUGCAUCUCCAGAAAUUAAAAAUGAAUCUUUGUGGAAUUUGUCGAUAUAA